This 830-nucleotide ribosomal RNA is filed under the name Rhinotermes sp. 'Manaus'. RNAcentral describes it as "partial 16S ribosomal RNA". The record is from RNAcentral. Lineage: Eukaryota; Metazoa; Arthropoda; Insecta; Blattodea; Rhinotermitidae.
UGUUUCCCGAUUUUAAGAGGAGUUAUUGGUAUAUUUUAGUUAUUGUUUCAUUAAUAUUAAUAAUAUGCUGUUAGUAAUGAGAUGUUAUUCGUCUUUGUUGGUAUCUGGUUUUCCAAGAAAUGAAUUUAAUUCAUGCGUUUUAUUUAGAUUUAUUAUUAUUUUAUUAGAUUUUAAUAUGUCGCUAAGAUUAGGGGGGAUUAGCUCUCUAUUUUAUUUUUAUAACUUUAUUUGCUUGUGAUUCUUGUUGAUUUUAUAGUGAUUUUCAAUUUGAUUAUGUUAAAAUUUUAUUUUCUUUUUGUUUGAUUUAUUGGUUGUUUAAUGUUUAUAUUGGAAUGUUCUUUUUAAUUUUGGUUGUGUUGUAAUUAUUGUGAUAUUAGUAAAUUUUAUUUUGUUUUGUUUAAAUGAUUUUAUUGUUAAUUUCUUCUGAGGAAUUAGGCAAAUUUUUGUGUCCGCCUGUUUAACAAAAACAUCUUUUCUUGUUAGUUUCUGAAGUAUGGCCUGCCCACUGAUUUUUUGAAGGGCCGCGGUAUUUUGACCGUGCCAAAGGUAGCAUAAUCAUUAGUUCUUUAAUUGUGAUCUGGAAUGAAUGGCUUGACGAGAUGCGAGCUGUCUUAGGUUUUGAUGAAAUUUUUAUUGAAUUUGGUUUUUGAGUUAAAAUUCUCAAAUGUUUUUAUGGGACGAGAAGACCCUAUAGAGUUUUGACAUGUCUAUUCCUAUUUUUUUAUUUUGUUUGUUUAUUUUUAAUAGGUUUAUUUUGUUUUGUUGGGGUGAUGGGAAGAAUUUAUUUAACUCUUCUUUGCUUUGUUACAUUUAUUUAUGGUGAUUUUGAU